UACGUAGGGCGCAAGCGUUGUCCGGAAUUAUUGGGCGUAAAGAGCUCGUAGGUGGUUUGUUACGUCUGCUGUGAAAACCUAGGGCUUAACCCUGGGCCUGCAGUGGAUACGGGCAGACUAGAGGUAGGUAGGGGAGAAUGGAAUUCCCGGUGUAGCGGUGAAAUGCGCAGAUAUCGGGAGGAACACCGGUGGCGAAGGCGGUUCUCUGGGCCUUACCUGACACUGAGGAGCGAAAGGCGUGGGGAGCGAACAGG
RNAcentral lists this ribosomal RNA (254 nucleotides) under uncultured bacterium. RNAcentral describes it as "partial 16S ribosomal RNA". It matches the Rfam family "Bacterial small subunit ribosomal RNA", at positions 524 to 776 of the family's 1533-position model. The record is from RNAcentral.